Prunus dulcis (almond) is the source of this 1077-nucleotide long non-coding RNA. RefSeq lists it as uncharacterized. The transcript has 2 exons. Lineage: Eukaryota; Viridiplantae; Streptophyta; Magnoliopsida; Rosales; Rosaceae. The record is from RefSeq and is a predicted model, not a curated record.
CCAAACAAACCCUAAAAUCUUCAGUAAAGGUGGGGAAAUAUCCAACCCUUAUCUUUCUCUUUCUCCCACGUGUCUUUAUCUUUCUUCCUUCUAUCAAUUCUUUCUUGAAAUUUCCACCGCAAAAUCUUACAACCCAAAAACUCCCACAUUCUAUCCCUCUUCAUCGUCCUCAUUCUCUUCACCUUCUUCACGUCAAUUCUUCUUCCAAGCUCGACUGGCUUUGCAUCUACUCACCCCCUUCCUCACAUCCCGACAACUUAAUCAACUACACGUUCCUCUUCUCCAGCCCAACUUGGAAAUCUGGGUACAGAGCCAAUGCUUUGCUAACCUUCACAGUCAUAAUUUUGGCCCUCAUGCGUGCCAUGGCCUCUAUCUCUGAUAAUCUCAACCACCCCACUCCCACUUCCCAAAUCCAAGUCCUUUCUCUUUUCUUUGGUAGACCUAGGAUUUAAAAAGUUGAAUUAGAAUAGCCAGUUCGAUUUUAUGUUUGAUUUUGCUUGUUCGGUCCGUUUAGGUGCUGAACAUCAAUUGGUGUAACAAGCAACCAAAUCUGAACGACGAGCUGUAAAGCUAUACAGAAAAGUAAAAGACCAUGUGCAGAGCUACUUGAUGAGGAAUAAACACAAGGAUAUCAUAUUUUAUGUGAUAAUAAGUGCAGAACAUGGAGAUAAGACUCAUGCUCAAGAAUACUUUGACAGAUUUCUUUAAUGGGAAGAAAUCUCUGAAGAACACACCGCUUCAGUUAUAAAUAUGAUAGGUCCCUGCUCUAUCGAUCGAAUUGCAGAAUCCACCCCCUAUAGCCCCAUUGAUUGUACUGCAUAAGGAGAUCGUAGAGUUGCAGAAGCAUAUGUCAUUGAACCAAGCAUCCCUUCAUCAUGUAAGUGAUCAAGAGGUAUUGUGAGUUUCCUAAAGACUAUAUCUGAUUUAUUUUUCAGGCUUACAUGAUUUUCUAUAGCAAGGGUCUUUGAUGUUUAUUUUCUUUAUCAAAUUUCCAUGUGUAUGCAUUUGUGUGUAUGGACUAUGUAUGGAUGUACAGAUUCAGAGCAAAGCUCUGAAAUUUCCAGGUUUUGUGUUUUA